GCUCCUACCGAUUGAGUGAUCCGGUGAAUUAUUCGGACUGACGCAGUGCUCAGCUUCUGGACGUUUCGUUGGAAAGUUUCAUGAACCUUAUCACUUAGAGGAAGGAGAAGUCGUAACAAGGUUUCCGUAGGUGAACCUGCAGAAGGAUCAAGUUCGGUAGUGCGUCGUUUUGGGUAAUCGUCUAGUUCUCGGUGGUCCCCGUAUCUUUUAAAAAAACAUUUUUUCUUUCUCCUCUUCUUCCCUCUUUCUUUCCCUCUAUUCUUUCUUUUCUUUUUUC
Molecule: unclassified non-coding RNA, 277 nt
Filed under: sea anemone metagenome
Description: partial contains small subunit ribosomal RNA and internal transcribed spacer 1
Rfam family: Eukaryotic small subunit ribosomal RNA (bases 1-153)
Source: RNAcentral